This 495-nucleotide ribosomal RNA is filed under the name uncultured bacterium. RNAcentral describes it as "partial 16S ribosomal RNA". It matches the Rfam family "Bacterial small subunit ribosomal RNA", at positions 28 to 507 of the family's 1533-position model. The record is from RNAcentral.
GACGAACGCUGGCGGCGUGCCUAAUACAUGCAAGUAGAACGCUGAAGGAGGAGCUUGCUCUUCUGGCUGAGUUGCGAACGGGUGAGUAACGCGUAGGUAACCUGCCUGGUAGCGGGGGAUAACUAUUGGAAACGAUAGCUAAUACCGCAUAAGAGUAGAUGUUGCAUGACAUUUGCUUAAAAGGUGCAAUUGCAUCACUACCAGAUGGACCUGCGUUGUAUUAGCUAGUUGGUGGGGUAACGGCUCACCAAGGCGACGAUACAUAGCCGACCUGCGGGGGUGAUCGGCCACACUGGGACUGGGACAAGGCCCAGACGCCUACGGGAGGCAGCAGGAGGGAAUCUUCGGCAAUGGACGGAAGUCUGACCGAGCAACGCCGCGGGAGUGAAGAAGGUUUUCGGAUCGUAAAGCUCUGUUGUAAGGGAAGAACGAGUGUGAGAGUGGAAAGUUCACACUGUGACGGUAUCUUACCAGAAAGGGACGGCUAACUACGUG